UGACAGGUAUCUCUUCAUCCUUUCUGAUGGCGCCCCAUCACCUGGAUAGAGGACUUGGAUUGGAUACAGAGGAGAAAUAUCUCCCCGCUUUGCCCACUUCCUUAUCUGUAAGGGAGGGAGAGCCACUGAGCACAGCCCAGGCUCCGGCCAUGUCCGUGAGCCAGCCCUGGAGUGCAAAAGCAGAGGGAACCAGAAGAGGACAAAAGAAGUGAUUCUGGAGCCAAAGGGGUCUGUUAAACCCAGGACAGCUGAGGAGCCACGGCCCACAAAUGCAGAAGUGUCAAGGAACUAGGAUGGAUGUUUUUGACCACAGCUCUGGCUGCCACCCAGCCUUCAUUGCUGACCAAGCUUCAGUUCUAUCUCCUGCCUUAAGAUCACAGUGAAUGGAGCCCUGCCGAAUAAUGACUGAAACCCUCCCAUUCCAGCAAGUCAGCUUUGCCAGCCUGCAAGAGCUGAGGGCUCAGGGGACUGGCGGGGAGGAUGGAGUGCUACAGCUGCACCUGAUCAUGGACCCUGUUGAUCCAGAUCUCCUGGCUUGACCUGCCUCAUCACCAUGAACUUGCCUGAUGGUCUGGACUCUUGGUUGAAGCUGGCUACCAUCCCUGCACUGUUUGCCUUGCUCAGGAUAGCUGUGGUGAGCAAGACAACAAGUAAUGAAGGCAAACUGGACCACGAACAGCAUUUCUGGGGGACAAAUGAUUGGCUUUGCACCUGGGAUAAAGUGACUUCAGCACUUCAGCCGUGUGAGAAUCCGAGUCCAGAGCGGCCACUGCAGGCGGCAUCCAGCAGGCUGCAGGAAGGAGUGAAAGCUCCUCUGCUGGUAUUGGUGUCUCCCAUUUGGCAGCCACUCUGCCCAGAGGAAAUGGGAGAUUUGGCAGCUGAGCAGGAGGUGGAGGGACCUUUGGACUGUAGGAAAUGCGUUUGGCCAGGAGCUUUUGCUAAAAACCCACCAGUGACGCAGGUAACCAACUGAGCCUGGCAAUCAAGCCAUCAUCUCCUGGCCCCAGAAUCGACGCUCAUUUGAAGCAGGACUGAUGUCACUACCUGUGGCCUAUACCUUUUUACGUGUGGAUCUUCCCAGAGGUGUGGUUCCGUGAUUUCCUUUUUUUUUUUUUUUUUUUUUUUUUUUUUUUUUGAAUGCAAUGGCCUCACGUUGACUGCAGGAGGAGGAGGCUGAGGUGUCUCAAGCUGUGAUGCAGGCAAACACUGGCUCCGGCGAUAACGCACGGGUGCAUGAACAACGGAGCAAGGCCAGAGCAAGAAAGGACUGAAACUCGGAUAUUAAAUGCUCCACGACGAACUGUCAGGCUUUGAACUGGCUGGAAAUGCAGCCGGAGGAGGCAGGUGGGAGGUACAACAUGUAAGGGUGUAUUUACGGAAGUGCGUGUGACUGGACAAAUGUGCAUAAAUAGCAAAACACAUGGUUAAAUAAUGUAUUUAUAUCCUUUAUUUCCUUAUUUAUUUCUGCAUCACUCCAUCCUGCUCUUUCCUCCUCCCUACUUGCGACUCUGAAUUGCGAGGACGAAAUACAUUUAUUAAACCCAUCCGGUUUAUCGGGGCCGGGCGGGACGUGUGAGCCGCGGCAGAGCUGGCGCUAGCUCAGCGCUGGGGCGAGCAAGUCUGGGCCGAGCAACCUCCCACGCUUAAAAGCACGCGGCCGCGAGUGCCG
This is a long non-coding RNA of Rhea pennata, 1669 nucleotides long. RefSeq lists it as uncharacterized. The transcript has 5 exons. Lineage: Eukaryota; Metazoa; Chordata; Aves; Rheiformes; Rheidae. The record is from RefSeq and is a predicted model, not a curated record.